AACGAACGCUGGCGGCAUGCCUAACACAUGCAAGUCGAACGAGACCUUCGGGUCUAGUGGCGCACGGGUGCGUAACGCGUGGGAACCUGCCCUUAGGUUCGGAUUAACUCCCCGAAAGGGGUGCUAAUACCGGAUAAUGUCUUCGGACCAAAGAUUUAUCGCCUUUGGAUGGGCCCGCGUUGGAUUAGCUAGUUGGUAGGGUAAAAGCCUACCAAGGCGACGAUCCAUAGCUGGUCUGAGAGGAUGAUCAGCCACACUGGGACUGAGACACGGCCCAGACUCCUACGGGAGGCAGCAGUGGGGAAUAUUGGACAAUGGGCGAAAGCCUGAUCCAGCAAUGCCGCGUGAGUGAUGAAGGCCUUAGGGCUGUAAAGCUCUUUUACCCGGGAUGAUAAUGACAGUACCGGGAGAAUAAGCUCCGGCUAACUCCGUG
Molecule: ribosomal RNA, 433 nt
Filed under: uncultured bacterium
Lineage: Bacteria
Description: partial 16S ribosomal RNA
Rfam family: Bacterial small subunit ribosomal RNA
Source: RNAcentral